AUGUUGUUACUAUUGGUUUGGGGGAUAUGUCUCAUGAGUUUAAUUUUGCUAAGUUUCAUAGACAACCCCAUGAUAAAGAAUUACCUAGUAAAUAUGAAUUAUUGGUCUUGCCUCUAUUGCCGUGCCUCCUAA
RNAcentral lists this ribosomal RNA (132 nucleotides) under Triticum aestivum (bread wheat). RNAcentral describes it as "partial small subunit ribosomal RNA". Lineage: Eukaryota; Viridiplantae; Streptophyta; Magnoliopsida; Poales; Poaceae. The record is from RNAcentral.